Brassica napus (rape) is the source of this 2699-nucleotide RNA transcript. It is a transcript of the gene named boron transporter 1, with no coding region annotated. The record is from RefSeq and is marked provisional. NCBI's taxonomy places the organism in Eukaryota, Viridiplantae, Streptophyta, Magnoliopsida, Brassicales, Brassicaceae. The transcript is spliced from 10 exons.
AUCCGCGCGUAGCGCGGACACGAAACUAGUAACAACAACAACACAUAGUAUACACAUUGCACAGCUUCUUGUAAUUCACCGACUCUUCACUUUCUUCUCAUCCAAAUCAAAAACACACACAGUGCUUCCCUCUCUUUCCUUUUAUUGAUUUGUUCUCCCCAUCCAUGCACUGUUUCCAAGUUUCUUCAUCCAGAUUCAAUCUUACUCUUCUCACAAACCUCCUUCUUGGGCUCUCCUGCAUUUUUCUCCCCUGUUCUUCUCUAACACUGACUUAAAAAGAUGUUCUUCGAAAUGGGUUUCUCCGGUUUGAAGUAGUUUAUAAGCUGUUUCCCCCUUAAACCGGGUUUGAGCUCAAAAUCUUUCAGAACUCCAAGUGUUUGACGAAUUGACUCAACCAAAACAGAGGAAACAGAGCAAACUAUGGAAGAGACGUUUGUGCCGUUUGAAGGAAUCAAGAAUGAUCUCAAAGGCAGACUCAUGUGCUACAAGCAAGACUGGACCGGUGGAUUCAAAGCUGGCUUUAGGAUUCUAGCUCCCACCACUUACAUAUUCUUCGCCUCUGCGAUUCCUGUCAUCUCCUUCGGUGAACAGCUCGAAAGAAACACUGAUGGAGUUCUCACGGCUGUUCAGACCUUAGCAUCCACCGCCAUUUGCGGCAUCAUUCACUCUGUUAUCGGAGGUCAGCCACUGCUUAUACUCGGUGUUGCAGAGCCGACUGUUAUUAUGUAUACAUUCAUGUUUAACUUCGCAAAGGCUAGACCUGAACUGGGACGAGACCUCUUCUUGGCUUGGUCUGGAUGGGUUUGUGUUUGGACUGCUUUGAUGCUGUUUGUGAUGGCUAUAUGUGGAGCUUGUUCCAUCAUCAACAGGUUCACCCGUGUAGCUGGGGAGUUGUUUGGACUGCUUAUCGCUAUGCUCUUCAUGCAACAAGCCAUCAAAGGGCUAGUGGAUGAAUUUCGCAUUCCCGAACGAGAAAAUCAGAAGCUGAUGGAGUUCUUACCUUCCUGGAGGUUCGCUAAUGGGAUGUUUGCUCUGGUUCUCUCCUUUGGUCUUCUGCUAACCGGACUUAGAAGCCGAAAAGCUAGAUCAUGGCGGUACGGUACUGGCUGGCUCAGAAGCUUAAUAGCAGACUAUGGUGUACCACUGAUGGUACUAGUGUGGACCGGUGUCUCCUACAUUCCAUCAGGAGAUGUUCCAAAAGGAAUCCCCAGGCGGCUUCUUAGCCCAAAUCCUUGGUCUCCUGGUGCUUAUGGAAACUGGACCGUAGCAAAGGAGAUGCUUGAUGUUCCAAUCGUUUACAUAAUAGGAGCUUUCAUUCCAGCGUCAAUGAUUGCUGUGCUUUACUACUUUGAUCAUAGCGUUGCUUCUCAGCUUGCUCAGCAGAAAGAGUUCAAUUUGAGAAAACCUUCUUCUUACCACUACGACUUGCUUCUUCUUGGGUUUCUGACCUUAAUGUGUGGUCUACUUGGAGUCCCUCCAUCAAAUGGUGUCAUUCCUCAAUCUCCAAUGCACACCAAGAGCUUAGCAACUCUUAAAUAUCAGUUACUUCGUAACAGACUGGUUGCAACAGCAAGAAAAAGCAUCAAAACGAAUGCUAGUUUGGGGCAACUCUACAACAAUAUGCAAGAAGCUUAUCAUCACAUGCAGACACCAUUGGUAUACCAGCAACCUCAAGGUUUAAAAGAACUAAAAGAAUCAACAAUCCAAGCAACUACAUUCACCGGAAACCUCAACGCUCCAGUUGAUGAAACUCUAUUCGAUAUAGAGAAAGAGAUUGAUGAUUUGUUACCAGUGGAAGUCAAAGAGCAGCGUGUAAGCAACCUCCUUCAGUCCACAAUGGUAGGAGGAUGCGUUGCUGCUAUGCCUAUCCUUAAAAUGAUCCCAACCUCUGUCCUUUGGGGUUACUUCGCCUUCAUGGCUAUUGAGAGCUUACCUGGAAACCAGUUCUGGGAGAGAAUCUUACUUCUCUUCACCGCCCCAAGUCGCCGCUUCAAGGUUCUUGAAGACUACCACGCAACAUUCGUUGAAGCCGUUCCAUUCAGGAUGAUUGCAAUGUUCACUCCAAACGGUUUAUCUGUUAAUUUGCUUUGGUCUCAUAUGGAUCCCAAUAGCAGGAGUCAUGUUCCCUUUAAUGAUCAUGUUCUUGAUUCCUGUAAGACAAUACAUCCUCCCUAGAUUCUUCAAAAGAGCUCAUCUUCAAGACUUAGACUCAGCUGUAUAUGAAGAAGCUCCAGCUUUACCCUUCAAUCUCGCAGCGGAAAUGGAGAUUGGAUCGACAACUUCAUAUCCAGGAGACUCAGAGAUUCUUGAUGAGGUUAUUACACGAAGCAGAGGAGAGUUUAGACACACAAGUAGUCCUAAGGUCACAAGUUCAAGUCCGCCUGUUAAUAACAGGAGUUUAUCUCAAGUGUUUAGUCCACGAGUUGGUGAACUCAGGUCUGGUCAGAUGAGUCCUCGUGUCGUGUUGAGAGUAGUCCAAACCCGGCUAAUUGUGGGAGGAGUCCCUUGAACCAGUCCUCGUCGAAGUGAGAUUAUAUAUUCAAGAAGCUCAAUAAAACAAAACCCCAAUGACGAUGAAUAUUUAGUUAGUUAAUUUAAUUAGAUCGUUAGUUCUUAUAAGAAACAAAAGCUUCUUGAAAAUCUAUCUUUAGUUUUUAUGUGUUUGUAAUCCCUGUCCCUGGUGUUUUAUCUUUUGAGUC